UUCAAAAGACUGCUGAGGACAGAAUGAAAUGAAUAUGGGUAUCGAAGCCACCUGGUGUCACAAUCUUGUGUUCACCGGCAAUGACAUCGGUGCAGGAGCCUACGACCAAUUUCGGAUCCACGCCAUCCAUGACAUCUGGGCUACCUGCUUUGCCAAUACCGACAAUGAUGCCAUCCUUGAUUCCAAUAUCGGCCUUGUAAAUGCCAGUCCAGUCGAUAAUCAGGGCGUUAGUGAUGACCGUAUCAAGUGAAUCUUUAUCCGAUCGUCCUCCUGCUUGACCCAUGCCUUCUCUUAG
RNAcentral lists this small RNA (295 nucleotides) under Pyrenophora tritici-repentis Pt-1C-BFP. RNAcentral describes it as "5' ureB small RNA". It matches the Rfam family "5' ureB small RNA". The record is from Rfam by way of RNAcentral. Lineage: Eukaryota; Fungi; Ascomycota; Dothideomycetes; Pleosporales; Pleosporaceae.